Molecule: ribosomal RNA, 254 nt
Filed under: uncultured bacterium
Lineage: Bacteria
Description: partial 16S ribosomal RNA
Rfam family: Bacterial small subunit ribosomal RNA
Source: RNAcentral
UACGUAGGGUGCAAGCGUUGUCCGGAAUUAUUGGGCGUAGAGAGCUCGUAGGCGGUCUGUCGCGUCUGCUGUGAAAACUCGGGGCUUAACCCCGGGCCUGCAGUGGGUACGGGCAGACUAGAGUGCGGUAGGGGAGACUGGAAUUCCUGGUGUAGCGGUGAAAUGCGCAGAUAUCAGGAGGAACACCGGUGGCGAAGGCGGGUCUCUGGGCCGUAACUGACGCUGAGGAGCGAAAGCGUGGGGGAGCAAACAGG